ACCACAGAAGGUAAUAGUCCUGUAUGUUAAACGAGAAGACUUUAGAUAUGAUCCAGAGUACCACGGGACACGUGAAACCCUGUGGGAAGCAGGAGGGACCACCCUCCAAGGCUAAAUACUACCUAGUGACCGAUAGCGUAUAGUACCGUGAGGGAAAGGUGAAAAGAACCCCGGGAGGGGAGUGAAAUAGAACCUGAAACCCUGCACUUACAAGCUGUGGAAGCACAUUUCUUGUGUGACCGCGUACUUUUUGUAGAACGGGCCAACGAGUUACGUUAAGUAGCAAGGUUAAGCACUUAAGGUGUGGAGCCGUAGCGAAAGCGAGUUUUAACUGAGCGUUCAGUUACUUGACGUAGACCCGAAACCGGGCGACCUACCCAUGAGCAGGAUGAAGCGAAAGUAAAAUUUCGUGGAGGUCCGAACCCACGAGCGUUGAAAAGCUCGGGGAUGACUUGUGGGUAGCGGUGAAAUUCCAAUCGAGCCCGGAGAUAGCUGGUUCUCCCCGAAAUAGCUUUAGGGCUAGCCUCAAGGUGAGAGAUACGGAGGUAGAGCACUGAAUGUCCUAGGGGGUAUUGCACCUACCGAAGACUAUCAAACUCCGAAUGCCGUCAUCUUAUACUUGGGAGUCAGACUGUGGGUGAUAAGAUUCAUAGUCGAAAGGGCAACAGCCCAGAUCGUCAGCUAAGGUCCCUAAAUGUAAGUUAAGUGGUAAAGGAUGUGGGAUUGCACAGACAACCAGGAUGUUGGCUUAGAAGCAGCCACUCAUUCAAAGAGUGCGUAAUAGCUCACUGGUCGAGUGAUCCUGCGCCGAAGAUUUCCGGGGCUAAAACUUACUACCGAAGCUACGGCAUCAGUAAUGAUGGGUAGGGGAGCUUCCCAUACGGGUUGAAGCAUGACCGUAAGGACAUGUGGACAGUAUGGGAGUGAGAAUGUUGGCAUGAGUAGCGAGAUGUGGGUGAGAAUCCCACAGGCCGUAAACCCAAGGUUUCCAGGGGAAGGUUCGUCCGCCCUGGGUUAGUCGGGACCUAAGCUGAGGCCGAAAGGCGUAGGUGAUGGACAACAGGUUGAUAUUCCUGUACUACCGAUAACCGUUUGAGAGAAGGGAUGACACAGUAGGAUAAGCUAAGCACACUGUUGGUUAUGUGUGCCCAAGCAUUGAGGCAGUCAAAGUAGGCAAAUCCGCUUUGAUAAUGCUGGGAUGUGAUGGGGAGCGAAAUUUAGUAGCGAAGUAGCUGAUUUCACACUGUCAAGAAAAGUCUCUAUCGAGGUUAAAGGUACCCGUACCGCAAACCGACACAGGUGGGUGAGGAGAGUAUCCUAAGGCCAGCGAGAGAACUGUUGUUAAGGAACUCGGCAAAAUGACCCCGUAACUUAGGGAUAAGGGGUGCCACCAUUAGGUGGCCGCAGAGAAUAGGCCCAAGCGACUGUUUACCAAAAACAUAGGUUUCUGCUAAGUCGCAAGACGAUGUAUAGGAGCUGACGCCUGCCCGGUGCUGGAAGGUUAAGGGGAUCUGUUAGAG
Molecule: ribosomal RNA, 1520 nt
Filed under: Clostridioides difficile
Lineage: Bacteria; Bacillati; Bacillota; Clostridia; Peptostreptococcales; Peptostreptococcaceae
Description: partial 23S ribosomal RNA
Rfam family: Bacterial large subunit ribosomal RNA
Source: RNAcentral